AAGAUAUUUCGGGGGAGCUUAUUUAGCUGAGAUAGAGAAAUCUAGACCCUUAGAACCUGAUUUGGUUAAAACCAACGUAGGGAAGAAAGUCGGUAACAAUA
RNAcentral lists this non-coding RNA (101 nucleotides) under Helcococcus kunzii. Its description in RNAcentral is "TPP sequence". It matches the Rfam family "TPP riboswitch aptamer (THI element)". From Rfam's summary of the family: Vitamin B(1) in its active form thiamin pyrophosphate (TPP) is an essential coenzyme that is synthesised by coupling of pyrimidine and thiazole moieties in bacteria. The previously detected thiamin-regulatory element, thi box was extended, resulting in a new, highly conserved RNA secondary structure, the THI element, which is widely distributed in eubacteria and also occurs in some archaea. Analysis of operon structures identified a large number of new candidate thiamin-regulated genes, mostly transporters, in various prokaryotic organisms. RNAcentral also lists the same sequence under 1 other name. The record is from RNAcentral. Lineage: Bacteria; Bacillati; Bacillota; Tissierellia; Tissierellales; Peptoniphilaceae.